UAGGGAUCAAUAUACAGAGAAGAUACAACUGGUUUUGUUAGUCAAUCUGGUGAAACUGCAGAUACGUUACAUGCAUUAGAGUAUGCAUUAGAAAAUGGUGCAUUAUGUGUUGGCAUUACAAAUACUGUUGGUAGUGCAAUUGCCAGGAACACACACUGUGGUGUUCAUAUAAAUGCUGGUGCUGAGAUUGGUGUGGCUAGUACCACGGUAUAAAAAUUUGUUUUUAUUUAAUUUUUUUUAUAGGUGUCGUAUUUUGAGUUUAUCUCAUGACCUCUGCCAACAGGCAUACACUAGUCAAAUAGUAGUGAUGGUUAUGCUAGCACUGGCAAUUGGUGGCGAUACAAUAUCCAGUCAAGCAAGAAGAGAGGCUAUAAUAGAUGGCCUAUUUGAAUUGCCAAAUAUGUUUUAUUGAUUUCUUUCCUUGUCAUGUUGCAGAUUUCAUAGACUUUCAAUUUAGGGGAAAGUGAGAUUUUGUAAGAACAACUCAAAAUAAUUGCACUUUCAUAGAGGUACAAGUGGGUGUUGUGCUCCACGACUUGCACUUGCACCGGACAUAGACCCACUUGCACCUCUAUGAAAAUUGCAUUUAUUUUGUAUGUUCCCACUAAACCACAAUUUCCCUUUCUAUUUAUGGCCAAGGAGUCAGAGAGGUGCUGAAGCUUGACCAGGAAAUGAAGGAUCUUGCGAAACUAUUGAUUGCUGAGCAGUCAUUGCUUGUGUUUGGGACAGGAUACAACUAUGCAACGGCUCUUGAAGGGGCCUUGAAAGUGAAGGAGGUGGCACUUAUGCACAGUGAAAGUAUACUUGCUGGUGAAAUGAAACAUGGUCCUCUGGCUUUGGUUGAUAAAAUCUCCCAAUUGUUGUCAUUGCUAACCGUGACGCUUGUUUCAGCAAGCAGCAGUCAAUUAUUCAGCAACUUCAUGCUCGCAACGGUCGACUCGUUGUUAUGUGUUCAAAAGGAGAUGCAGCAUCUGUGAGCGUGGGUGGUUCUUGUAGAGUAAUUGAAGUCCCCCAGGUUGAGGACUGUCUUCAACCAGUAAUUAAUGUAGUUCCCAUUAUAGUGCAGUUGUUGGCAUAUCAUCUCACCAUUCUAUGGGGCUACAAUGUUGACCAGCCUCACAAUCUUGCAAAGAGUGCUACAACCCAAUGAGGAAGGUUCGUCUCACUUUUUUGAAGGGCUACAUUGUUGACCAUCUUCACAAUCUCGGAAAAAAUGUGGCAACCCAAUUAGGAAUCUUUAUCCAUAGAAUUCUAAUGCUCCUCAUGUUUUAGAAUAUUGUGAAAAGCAGGAUUUCCAACUGAACCCUUACCUUUUUCAUUUGAGAUAAUUAAACAC
Camellia sinensis is the source of this 1336-nucleotide non-coding RNA. NCBI's taxonomy places the organism in Eukaryota, Viridiplantae, Streptophyta, Magnoliopsida, Ericales, Theaceae. The record is from RefSeq and is a predicted model, not a curated record.